Molecule: long non-coding RNA, 286 nt
Filed under: Elaeis guineensis (African oil palm)
Lineage: Eukaryota; Viridiplantae; Streptophyta; Magnoliopsida; Arecales; Arecaceae
Description: long non-coding RNA (EGUI_LNC051827)
Source: RNAcentral
AUUGCUAGUAUGGUAGUCUUCUCAUCCAAGUCAUGAAUCUCCAACAUCUCUAUAUUGGAAGCAGUUGAUGAAACUCCCAAGGGAUUCAUUUUAUCUCUGCUUCACUAUAAACAAGCUCAUAGAGUCCUUAAGCCUCCAAUUACUCACAAAGUGCACCACAAAUUAUUGGCUAAGCAAAUCAAAGGAAUGAAUGGAUCCAAGCCAAAAACUAGAGAACCAUAGACAUCCCACUUUCCUCGGGGUGGCUAUAAAAUCUUGGCAUAACAUUGCAUCAGUCACCCCUUAU